UUGAAUCAACAGACAAUGUUUUGUGAAUGAAAAAGCGUUUACUCUAUGCUUGCUUGGUGAAGUGUUCGUGAAAGUCUGGUGGAUUUUUUUUUACUCGUUCCAGUUGCAUCAAGCGGCCAAAGUGUUCUCAAUAAAAACCGUAAGCUGUGAGGAGAGUGAGUGAAGGGGAGAGGGAGAGAGAUUGAAAAAAAGUGCAGACGAAAAAAAAAAAUCGCUAACUUUUUAUAUAAAAUGUGCUACAUAGAAAGUGGUGAUUUUGCAACCAGAUUGCAUGUGUAUCGUUGAUGCGCGUACCUAAAGUCAAUAUUGAAGCUGCGAAAUAUACAUAAGGACAACGGUGGUGGCGUCGACAACGAAAUCAAAGACGGUGGUUUUUUCAUGUCACUCUCUCUCUCUCUCUAUAUAUAUAUAAAAGUUGAAAUGACUUCGCCGAGGGUGGCGGCGAUAGAGAGCGUAUCGUAGUCAGUCUUAAGAUAAUUCUGUGUGUAUGUAUGAGAAAGAAAGGCAACCGAAAGUGAAAGUCGAUUGUGUGUAUGUUAUUCUUUUUUUCUCGUCUUGUUCCUUUGCAAGAAGGGAAAAAUGCACAUGAAAAUUGUCGGUACAGAAUUUUUUUUCUCAGUCAGAAUGCGAAAACGAGGUUACGAGUGCUAAACUCCGGUGUAAAGUGAAUUGCUUGUGAAACAUCGAAGUGUGGUGAAAAAUAGACACAAUUCUCCCGGCUUGGAUUGUUAUCGAUAUAAGGAUAUGUGUUUGUUUUCUGUGUGUGAGAAAGAAUCGGGUUGAAAAGUGUGUGCUUGGAAAAUGUGUGUCGGCAAACCCGAAACGACAACCAAAAUGGAAAUUAUUAUAUCGAUGCCGAGACGUAAUCUGUUUGGGAAAGCUCUUAUUUGUAUACGACAUUGAAUAUGUUUACGAGCUCGUUGGUUGUGUGUACGUGACAAGGGUUUCGGAAAAAUGCCGGCCACUUGCCUUAUGUUACAUACUUAUGUUUUUCCUUGGAGGUCAAACCAUUCGUCGCAUUCAACAUCAUCAUCGUCGCAGUCGUCGUCGUCGUCCUCGUUGUUGUCUUCAUCGUCGUUCGACGGUUUUUGUUGUGUGUUUGUUUGUGUGUGAAUGAAUGAGAUGAGAGAGUGUUCGCAUUUAUAAGCUGAUAAUGGAGCAUCUAUAUACAAGCGAGUAUAGCCGCAAGGAUUUAGGCCUUCAUCGCGUCUCAAUGAAUGGUCUUUGUGCGUUGGUUGCUUGGUUGGCUGCUCGAUUCGGUUCGGUGCCUGUGGAAUAUCAUAUCUCCCGUUCGUCGGAUGUGUGAAUUUAUUUGAACUGUAAAUGAAAGAAGACAAACGACCCACCGACACAAAACAUAUGUUUUGUCUGCCAUUUCGACAGCACAGCGAAAAGUAUACACAAAACACACACACACACAACACGCUGUUCCCAUUACACACCAUCAAUGCGACCAUUCCAAAGGAGAUUGAAUAGAUUAUUUGCUUACAUAAUACAAGUCCUUUUCUUGUGCAUUUACCAAUGCUUCUAACGUUGAUAAAGUCAUCCAGUUUUCACGCGUAAUAACCACACCAUUCCACAGCACAAUGUUGUGUGCGUAUGUGGCUUCUUUGAAUAUGGACCGUUGUGUAUUGUGUGCUUUGUGUCUGAAGGAAGCGUGAGUUUUAAAUGGGACGCAAUCGUUUCUCGUCUGGUUCUUUUUGUUUGUGUGAGAAAUAUUUUUUUGCCUUCAGCUUGUCUGUGCCAUUCUGUGGUGUCAAUGAUCUGAUUAUGACAUGCAAAUACGGUUAUAAUUUGAUUUCUUCCGUAAUGCAAACGAGAUAUGGGCUAAAGCGAUGAUACAACGGCUUGUUGGGCUUUUUUUUGUAUUAAACAAAAAAAAUGCACUUUGACUCAUUUUCGUCAAAAUUAAUUAUUAAGAACUCGACGAACGUUAAAGAGGCUUCCUUAAUAGGCGAACAACGAUUUUUCGCCGUUGAAAUGACAUGUUCCCAGCCUAUUCAUUAAACGCCGCGGGAGAGCAAAGUUUUCAUGUUAACACAUAAAAGGUGCUAAAAUGUAAAACCAGUUACUUGGCGCAAAAAGGCGUUAGUUUUGAAUUAUAGCACUUAAUAAGUUUAAAGACUCGAAUAAUAGAGAGAGGAUGUGUGCCGUGUUUUUGGUGUGUACGUGUUCGUGUUGGUGUUGUUUUGUUUGUGUAGAUGUGUGCUUUAUUGCUUGGAAUAGAGUGUGCAAAUUUAAAAACUAAGAGAGCAAGAAUUUCCUUUCGUUUUUCACCUCCCCAUUCCACCCCGUUACUGUCACGAUAAAUACUUUCUCGCGUAACGACGGCAUCUAUUUCGUUGUGUGUACGGAUGGAACGGUACUUCAGAGAAUUUAUCUAAUGGUACACACGUGGAAAAUGACUACGUUAUCUGUUCCGUUUCAACUGAAGAGUGAAAAUUAUAUAUAUAUAUAUACGUACACUACACACCACCGAAAUAUGUUUGUGAUGAGUGCCCAUGUUUGUGGCAGCAUCGCAGCCGCAUAUACAUAUACAGUUGCUAACGAUAAAUUAUGUGCGGAACCGAAUUUCCUAAAUGGAAUAUUAAAUUUAUUGUAAAUGUGAAAAUGUUUUCCAUUCUUCCUGCCUUCGUGUUCGAGCGAAAGAGAGACAGAGUAUGUGAAAUGGUCGGAUUGAUGAUAUGCCAACGGUGCCAUGCACACGAUGCUCACUCACUCACUCCUUCUCGCUCUCCCAAUGUGGCAAUAGUUUCAUGUGAUGCGGUUUUCUUGUGUGUGAGCGCGCGCGCUAAGAAUGUAAAGAGGCGGUCUCUCUUUUGCUCUAACCGAAUUUCAAUUCGAGCAUUUAAAAUCCAUCCAUCUAGCACACCAGCUGAAAUGGGUAACACACAAACUAAACAAACUCCAAUCCCACAUAGAGAAGAAUGUGUGAGAGAGUGAGAGUGUCUAAUAAAUACUAUGCCGUAUCGCUAAAGUUGUGCUUCCUUCCAUUCUCGUGUAGAGAACGCGCGCGCGCGCGCGUCACACAGAGAGACACCACAUAGGAAAAUAUUUAUUGUGGGCUUUUAUGCGGUUUAAUUGGUUUUUUGGUAAAUCAUGCCGAAAAGUUGUACGGCUUUUGUGCGAUUCGAUGGGUUUGGCGUUUUGAUCAACAAGUGCGGUAUUGUGUGCUUCGCAAUAUAACGGAACUAGUGUGUGUGUGUAGAGUCGAGUUCAAUCUCAACUAAAAACAAAUUAAAAGCCAAAAAUGGGAAUGAAUCAUUCAACAAUAAGAUAAAUUGAUGCUCAUUUGAGCCAAAAAUCACGUCCCGUUAAAAUUGUCAAGCCGACGGCAAAACCAACCAGCGCGACUUCGUUGUGCACAGCAUUGAAAUACCAAUUUCUACGGUUAUGUUAAUUGAAUUGUCGCCAAUUUAUUUAGUUGCCGUCACUGCCUCUGCCUGCUGUUGCUGCUUUUGCUGGUGGUGACGAGAAAAAAAGACGUGCAAAUCACAUUUCUAUUUUUCAAUAAUUUCCGAUUAAAUCUGCAUCUUUCUUGAAAUUUCGUCGAAAAUCGGCAAACUCAAUUCGGGCAAGUGGUUUGACUGCUUUUUUUCGUUCACGUUGUUUAAGCUGCAGGCGACGAACCGCAGAAGAGAUGAAGAAAAAAAAUCGCUUUUUCCAUUUUCUGUAUCUGUUUCGCCAAUGCAUUUACUCCUUUUGUGGAUUGCAACGAAUGUAAAACUAACGGUAAAUUCAUUUGUUUUGUAUUAACGAACGAACGAAAGCGCAUGUACCACACCAUCUCUCUCCGUCGAUCGGAUGAUGAACCAUAGCAUUCAUUAUACAGCAAGCAGAAGAAAGAAGAAGAACAGAUGGAAGAAAAGAGAGAAAUAUCGCUAAUCAAGCCUUCAUUUGGCCGCAACCAGUUUCAAGUCAAUUUCACUUUGAUACAUGAAUUAUUCAGUUCCAUAAUUUAUAUAUAUUCGGCCAUAAAACAGGCAAGAAAAACGCGAAACAAAGAAAACACGACAAAGGCGACGACGACGUUGGAACAACAGCAACAAAAAAGUGGCCCUUCAGAGACCCGAAAUGGGUGAUAUGCAAACAAAUGAAUUUAUUUAUUACACUGGCCAGCCCGUAGAAAACUCUCUCAAUAUGAAAUUGAACACAAGAAAAACCACUUUUAUCGGCCCAAUCAUUUGAAUGCAACAGAUUUUUAGCACACACGGUUUUUUUUUCUUUCGUUCGCUCUCCUCGCAUCGUUUUCUUGGGCGCAUUUAAUAAAGAUCCGCAUGCACUUCGUUUCAUCGAUUCGAAAAUUGGCACACACGAAAAUUGGCAAACCAGAAUAUUACAAACAAAGUAACGAAAAACGACGCUUAAAAUGCGAUAAAUAAGCAGUAAUAACAAUAAUCACACAUUUUUCUCUCUUCGUCUGCGACUAAAUACCAUUUUUAGGCAUUUUCAUUCUUUUUAUUCGAGAUAUUUAUUCGCCGGAGAGUAGCGAGCACACUACGGUGCAUGCCGUUGAUUACAGAUUUUUAUGGCCAUUUAUAUAAUCUAAGAUGAAAGCUGAAUGGCAAAGAGCAAACUGACUACGUUAUUGACAAAGACUUCGAAAAUGGAUUCGAUUUUUACUGUUUUAUUGAAUUGUUUGGCCCUGUGCAACCAACCGAUUCGCCGAUUUAAUUUUUCAUUCUAUAUAUAAAUCUGUGCAGUACAAACCAUUAAAUGCUAUGUAUCUCUCCGUCUGUGUGUUACUCUGGAAUUGUUCGUUCGUGUCUGAAAUUUGUGUGAAACAUUUCCGAAAGAAAAAAAUUAUACACAAAGCAAACGACGAAGAGAAACAGAUUUAAGGUGCACCAUCAAAAUGCGGUGAAAGUUUUCGACAAAAACUCCGACCGAAACGAAGAAAAGAAAACCUUUGUUUUCGCAAUUGCAUUUGAUGCGUCAUUUAAAGUAAUAACAGGCCAUCGGUGUUUCAACGGAUUUCAAUUACGUCUAAAAAGAGAGAAAAGAGAAUGCGUCAACGUUGAAAAUUGCCAAAAUGAGACUAUUUGGGCUAAUGAUUGCAACGAUAACAAAAAACCGAUCGCUAAGUUUAUGCUGAAAUGUCGACAGAAGAAAGUUUCGCUUUUGCCUGGCAUGCGAAUUUAUAUUCAAAACAGGAUUCGACUCGAAUCAAACUGAUGAUUUCAAUUGACGUCUCUGAAAUGGAUAAUUUUCAAAGGUUCACUCAAAUGAACGUUUAUUCCAAUCGAUUUUGAGAUUAAGUUCACCAUUUGAUUCCAAUUUAAAGAUCUCUUCAAUUGCGCUUGACUUUUUGAACCAGAAAUAUGCUGCACAACAGAAAAAAGGAAAAGAAAAACGCCAAGAAGAAAGCAAGUCUUUAGGGCGAUAUUUAAAAUAGAAUCGUUUUUCUUUCGGCUAUUCGUUUGAAUGGCGUGCUAUUCAAAGAUUUCAAGAAUUGCGUCUGCACCAACAAAAAUGCCAUCCAACGCAAUGUCUAAAUCAGAUGCGAAACUUGAACGGAAAAAGUUGCCAAAAUACACCAACAAAACAUCUCAAAUGAAUCAAUUUUUCUCUGGUCGAUUUGGGCUAUUUUGGAUGUAUCGGCGAGAAGGCGGGCACACAAUAAAUAAUUUGACAUUGGGCGAGAAAAAAAAGUGACUAUAAAAUCCGCAAGAAAAACAUGAUGAACAAUGACGAGAAAUCGGAACGCAAUAUUCUUAGAUCUGGGUCGUUCUGGUGUCGCAGAAAUUGUGUUUGUCACGAAAAUUACGAAGAGAGAAUGGUGUAACAAAAAGUGGUGAAACAAUCGCUUUCUUGAAUUACUUAAUCGCGACGUGGUCGCCGCCGUCGCUACCACCACCGCUACCGUUGUCGUCUUUCUUUAUUCAAAUAGCAAUUUUUCCACAUCCGUAUAAUUAGUCGUUGGGUGGAAAAAUGUCUUUGCAACUGUCUCUCUUUUUCAAAAAUUUGAUUCGGAAUUUUUUUUCAAUUCGGGAGUUUUGUCAUUUAUGAGAAUGGUGAUGGUGACGGAUUGUUUAAUGCACGCAAAACCGAUCCAGAAUACAAACGGGGCGGCGGUCUUGUUUUUGCGGCAUUUGAUGUGAAUUCCAUUUUGCCAUUGACAGUGAUAUAAUCGAGUGUUAGUGUGAGUAUGAGUGAGUGAGUGAGAGAGGACGGACAAAAAAUGCGUUGCAAAUGUGUCUUUAUUGAGGCUGGUUAAGGAUUUACGGGGGGGGGGGGGGGGAAAAUACGAGCACAUUGUUUGAUAGACGUCAAACGACGGCAACAACCAUUACCAGAAUUUUUAUGAUUAUUUGUUGUGCUGUGAUAGCAGAAAAACGGAGCGCGCGUCACCCCCGUCGAACUUCAAGUGAAAGUCAAAACAAGCGAACGCCACACUCAUUCUCAUCCUCCAAACAACGAUGAGGACAAGGACGACUACGGCGACAUCCAUAUCCAAGGAAUGAAUGUGAAAUACACAUUCAACAGAUGUCUCAAAUAAAAAUCGCACCAGCAAAAUUUUUUCUUUGCUUUUUCACACAGGAAAUCCGCGUCCCAUUGGCUAUAGAAAUGUACAACGGCGUAUUCAUACAUAGUAUCUAUCUCGGUAACAGGCUCACAUUCAAUCUCGUUUUUUAGCUUAUAAAAUAAAUCGAAUGAGCACAGGUGGUGGUGCAGGGUGAAAAACGGUAUAGAGCAAAAAAAAACGUCGCUUGAAUUUCUCAUAAUAAUCACAUAGACAUUUGACGAGGAUGGUUUUUCUUUCUUUAGCCCGAAAUUUUGACCUUGAUGUGAAUUUGAAACACAGUCGCGUGAAUUGAAAUGUCGGUGGCGAUGAUGGUGGUGGUGUUGAGAUGAUGAUGAUGAUGAUGAAAUCAGUUCAGCUGGGUGUGAGAACGGAACGUGCUGUCUAGCAAAGUCGAACGCCGCCUUAUGUUGAGCCGGCAAUAUUUACUUGUCAAACCACUUACAUUGUACAUGGUAUGGUAAGCAUAUUUGAAGGUAAAACCAUUUAAAAUUAAUAAAUCAAUAGCGAACGAUCGGGCUACAGACGGCAGACACCUUUGGCACUGAGUGUAUGGCUUUUUCAUCUCGACGGCCCCAACAAACACAUCACAAACCAUGAUGGACAGCUCCAAUAUCAAAGACAUUACACACUAAGAUGUGUCAGACGUUCUUAUUUCAUGAAUAUAAAUUCAAUGUAAGAUCAAAUAUUAUGGGGCCAAAGUAAUGAUGAAAAUGUACAAUAUAUUAUAUACCAAAAAAUAAAAGACAACUCGUUGAAAGAGACGAGUCUCAAGGUA
Molecule: long non-coding RNA, 7301 nt
Organism: Sitodiplosis mosellana (orange wheat blossom midge)
Lineage: Eukaryota; Metazoa; Arthropoda; Insecta; Diptera; Cecidomyiidae
Exons: 2
Source: RefSeq, a predicted model, not a curated record